Long non-coding RNA from Gasterosteus aculeatus aculeatus (three-spined stickleback), 1147 nucleotides. Lineage: Eukaryota; Metazoa; Chordata; Actinopteri; Perciformes; Gasterosteidae. The record is from Ensembl.
ACUUACUCUCUCUCCUGUUAAAUAGCUGUUAUAGCAGUCGCCAUGGAACCACUCACUGCCUUAAUACAGUUGACCAUAGAAGGUUAAGUCAGGAGACUCAUCCAGUCAAAACGAACGGGCCACAAUCAGGGCCGCUCCGCGAAAAGCUCCCGACCCCCCCACCCCACUUCCCCCCGACAGGGCUGAUUCUGCAGCACGUUGCAUUGCUCUUUCACUGGUGAACCGCAUUUGGCCUUGUUUUGGGCUCAAACACAAACAUCCAGUGUGAUGUCUUACUGCGCAUUGACGAGAUGUUCUUUUCUUAUUUUAUCUUUGAAUAGUUCGAGUCAGCCGGCGCGCGUUUGUGCGUCGUCUAACAUAAGCACAGUGUGUUUGCUCACAAAGCCACAGCUGAUAUUUCACUCCGGGGGGUGGGGGCCCCCCCCCCCCCACUUCCGUUUUUGGGACUUUAUUCCUUCUUUGAACACUUGCCGAAGGGGGGUGGGCUUGGGGGGGGGGGGGGGGGGGCGCAUAGCGGACACUGGUCUAGUCUGUUAAAAAAAAAAAGAAAAAAAAAGAAAGAAAAAAAAACACAAAUUACAAUGAGAAUUGGUCACUUUUUCUCUCUCAGGGUUCAAAUGCACACAUAUCCUCCAUCAGUUACCCUCUGUCUCGUGUCCCUUCUAAUAAGCCCCCCCCCCAAUAUGUAGAACAGCCUCCUGUGUUUUUAGAAACCGCUCUCCCCUCGUUCCCCCUUUGUGCACCGGUCUGAACUUAUUUUUCUGUUUUGCUUUCUUUUGGCACUGACAUCUAACCAACUAACAUGGAAUGAAUGAAUGAAUGUUUGCAAGUGACUGUGUGAUGUUAAAAUUGGGAAAUGUAUUUUUACAACAUGUGAACAUUUUUUUUUCUCCACUCUGUGUGAAUUGUUAUUUGUUUUUUUUUGUUCUUUCACCAGACUGCAAAAAAAACAACACAUUCUCAUGUAACUAGGCUCUUAAGCUUUAUUUUUGUUUUGUUUACUUUUUUUUAUUAGAAACAAUCAUGUUUGUGAUGGUAACUUCCGAUGGUAAACUCCACACCGUAUUUUAAUAAAAUCUUAAAAAUUAAACCUUUGUUCUUGUGGUUACCUUUCAAAGUGACAGAAUCUUUUCCGCUGGUCCCUAAA